GCGUGCGCAGGCGGUUAUGUAAGACAGAUGUGAAAUCCCCGGGCUCAACCUGGGAACUGCAUUUGUGACUGCAUGGCUAGAGUACGGUAGGAGGGGGAUGGAAUUCCGCGUGUAGCAGUAGAAAUGCGUAGAUAUGCGGAGGAACACCGAUGGCGAAGGCAACUCCCCUGGACCUGUACUGACGCUCAUGCACGAAAGCGUGGGGAGCAAACAGGAUUAGAUACCCGGGU
Molecule: ribosomal RNA, 230 nt
Filed under: uncultured bacterium
Lineage: Bacteria
Description: partial 16S ribosomal RNA
Rfam family: Bacterial small subunit ribosomal RNA
Source: RNAcentral